GUCUCUAAGGUGCCACAAGUACUCCUGUCCUUUUUAUGUUAGAGUAUGAGGUGCUCAGAUGGGAAAUGGGGGCCAGGUAAGCAUCAGAGAUAGUCGUGGCAGGUGUGUGCUAGCAGUCUUUAACCAGGGACCAGUCCAGCGAGCCUGUUAUGUUUCACAAACACAGUACUUGAUACAUCUCCAACCUUGCCAGCUCCCUUGGAUGACGCUGGUUCAAUCCUUGAGACAAGUUUGUGUGUGCAAGGCCUCGUGCACAGUGUGUGCCAACUACAACCCUACCAAAAUCCCUGUGGCCAGAGCCUGCUAAGAGAGAGACCACUUCUUCGAGUCAGAGGGUUUGAGAACUUGCUCUCUGGCUAUCAUCAUGGAAAGAAUUAAUCAAGAGUAAUUUGCUGAACCUGAUUCUCAUUGCCCUUCACACUGCUCAGGCACUGUUGGAAAGGGCCCUUAAAGUGGGUGUGAAUGGCCUCCUUUAAGGUGCUUAUACACAGCCAGAGCCCUGUCAAGGGGCCUUAUGGUUAAAUAAGAAUCCAGCCCAAUGUCUCUUUAAGUUUCCUGAGUGGCACAGAGCUCUGUCGUCUGCUGUCCAACAUAACAAGCUUGCUAUCAAUCCGUGAAGCUACACUUCCAUUGUGCUCAGGGCUACCCCGCAGUGGCUCUCAGCCAGCAUAAAAGAGAAGGGUUUAUUGUGUGUCUGAACACAGCACAGGCUGUUCUCAGGGCCCUCAAGCCUGGAAAGUCACAGCAUAGUCCAACUGAGUCUGUCCAGCAGAGGAUGUGGAAAAUUCUAGAGGGGAUAGUGAGUGACCAGGAACAGGGUUUAAGAGGGCUGAGGUGGGGAAACUGAGGCACGGCCAACAAGGGCUGCACCCCCAAGCAGCUGAAUUCCAGACUGAGUAGCAAGCAGAAGGAUCCCUCCUUGAAGAAGUUAAGGGUCCUUGCAGGCCGCGGUGUUGGAAGAUCCUGGGGGUGGACUGCAGGAGAAGAUCCCUGUGGGAGAAGGGAUCUGGUAUCCGGCACCCCGAGGGAAAAUUGAACCGUGGGGGAUCAAGAUCUAGUGGCCCCCAGAAGUACCCUGAGCAGCUGUUGUAACUUAUUAAACUAAUCCCCCCCUUCAUCGUUUGUCGCCUUAGUAUAGCAUAUAAUAGCUUGAUUCUCAGCAGUUGCUGAGCACUCACAAAUUGUGAAAUCUGCAGGGGCUGCAGCUGCUCAGCAUCUUUAAAAAUGAAUCCACGAGGGCAUGAAACCACCUUUGGUGGCAGCUGGUAUCUCCAUUUUUCAUAUGGGUAAACUGAAGCACAGAGAGAUGAUGCGACUAUCCCUGAAGUACCCAGUAAGGCAGUGGCAAAGUUGGAACUAGAACCCAGGAGUCCUGACUCCCAGCUCUUUACUUAAGCCACUAAAUAAUCCUUUCUACCAUCUGUGCAUCCUGACAAAGAUACCUUAUAGAAUGAUCCGUCAAAUAUCUAAUGACCCAUUGUUUGCAAAAUCUAAUUUCUCUGAUUGGAACAGAGUGGACAUUUUAACAGAUCAAAGUAGAUCAAGUGUUGUUAGUUCACAAGUCAAGACGGUUCCUCCAAUUGCUGGUGCCAGAGACUCCCAGUCCUGAUGUGAAAACCCAGCUGUUUGGUCAGCGUCCGACCUAAUCACUGCUGUAGAAGGUUCUUAGCUGACCAUUUUGUUGGUGCUUCAUGAAUCAGAAUGGACUCCAGCUCUCUCUCCUGCUGCUGUACUAGCUCCUGCUAAGCUAGCAGAAGGGAGAUCUUUCUUUUCAUCAGCAAUGGGAGCUCCAUACGUUCAGGAAGCAGAGAUCUGAGUAACUGGAGGCCAUUUUUAUGUAGACACCCUUUUAGCAGGAACUGCUCCUUAAUUGACUCACUUUUAAAGUGUAGUCUUUCUGUAUUCUAGAACCCCAACUGUUUACCUUAUCUCAGGGCUUCUCAACCUGGAGUUUGUGAGCAGAUGCCAAGGGGUUGUGGCCAUGCUGCCCUCCCCUGGUGCUAAAAGGGAUGGAAUGGAUGGAUCCCAGUAUGAAAAAGAUUGAGAACCGCUGCCUGCCCUGGUGAAGAAAAACCCGGCUGUGCACAUACAUACACAAAUAUUUCAUUCACCGGGUAACUCGGAUUUUAGCUGCUUUGCACUAUGAUAAGCCAUAGCAAGAAAAAACUGACGGCUUGUUAGCCAAACAGAUAGCAGGGGGAUUAUAAGAGGAACUGGGCUCCAGACUUUCAGUUGGGUCACAGCUCUGUCACCACCUGUGAAAUGAACAUGUUUCAAAUUGUCAAGGUAAAAUGGAGAAGAGCAGCCUCAUGGUAUCACAGGACAGCUGAUUCUAGCAUUCUCCAUUUCCCCUGUACUUGCUGAGCGGGAAGCAUGGCUUUAAAGAAUGACAACACCUUCGGGCGCAUCGCUAGUAUCCCUCUGUUCAACUUGGCUUAUCAGAUCACUAUGUUCACCUAUGUGGACGUAAAAGGUACCCACCCCGUGGUGGGUUUCUUCUGUGACAUGGCAGAGUGCAGCGUGAGCACCGUGUGGGGGUGGCUGUGAUGGCAGCCACUCCUGUCGUGCAGAGGCUGGAGGUGCCAAUAGCUGCAGUUAAUAACUAAACACUGAGGGGCAUGGCCGAGCAGGAGGCGAGAUUCCCCAUUCUGGAUCAGUCAGCGAACGAAGUCCUUGGGAAUUUGCAAGGCAGCCUGGCU
This is a non-coding RNA of Chelonoidis abingdonii (Abingdon island giant tortoise), 2699 nucleotides long. The record is from RefSeq and is a predicted model, not a curated record. NCBI's taxonomy places the organism in Eukaryota, Metazoa, Chordata, Testudines, Testudinidae.